Molecule: ribosomal RNA, 497 nt
Filed under: uncultured bacterium
Lineage: Bacteria
Description: partial 16S ribosomal RNA
Rfam family: Bacterial small subunit ribosomal RNA
Source: RNAcentral
GAUGAACGCUGGCGGCGUGCCUAAUACAUGCAAGUCGAGCGAACGGACAAGAAGCUUGCUCCUCUGCUGUUAGCGGCGGACGGGUGAGUAACACGUGGAUAACCUACUUCUAAGACUGGGAUAACUUCGGGAAACCGGAGCUAAUACUGGAUCAUAUUUUGAACCGCAUGGUUCAAAAGUGAAAGAUGCUCUUCCUGUCUCUUUUAGAUGAAUUCGCGCUGCAUUAGCUAGUUGGUAAGGUAACGGCUUACCAAGGCAACGAUGCGUAGCCGACCUGAGAGGAUGAUCGGCCACACUGGAACUGAGACACGGUCCAGACUCCUACGGGAGGCAGCAGUAGGGAAUCUUCCGCAAUGGGCGAAAGCCUGACGGAGCAACGCCGCGUGAGUGAUGAAGGUCUUCGGAUCGUAAAACUCUGUUAUUAGGGAAGAACAUAUGUGUAAGUAAAUGUGCACAUCUUGACGGUACCUAAUCAGAAAGCCACGGCUAACUACGUG